CCUACGGGAGGCAGCAGUAAGGAAUAUUGGUCAAUGGACGCAAGUCUGAACCAGCCAUGCCGCGUGCAGGAUGAAGGCCCUCUGGGUUGUAAACUGCUUUUAUAGGGGACGAAAAGGGACUUUCUAGUUCAACUGACGGUACCCUAGGAAUAAGCACCGGCUAACUCCGUGCCAGCAGCCGCGGUAAUACGGAGGGUGCAAGCGUUAUCCGGAUUUACUGGGUUUAAAGGUGCGUAGGUGGGUCGGUAAGUCAGCGGUGAAAUCUUCAAGCUUAACUUGGAAACUGCCAUUGAUACUAUCGAUCUUGAAUCAUCUGGAGUAAGCGGAAUAUGUCAUGUAGCGGUGAAAUGCUUAGAUAUGACAUAGAACACCAAUUGCGAAGGCAGCUUACUACGGAUGUAUUGACACUGAGGCACGAAAGCGUGGGGAUCAAACAGGAUUAGAUACCCUGGUAGUCCACGCCCUAAACGAUGGAUACUCGACAUACGUGAUAUACCUAUGUNUGUUNUGNGNGAGANAUAAUAUACCACCUCGAGUACGAGCGCGAGAGUAGAAGUACAAUAGAAGUAGUAGACGUAGAGACGAGCGACGGACGACGACGAGGGAGGUAGGAG
This 614-nucleotide ribosomal RNA is filed under the name uncultured bacterium. Its description in RNAcentral is "bacterial SSU rRNA". It matches the Rfam family "Bacterial small subunit ribosomal RNA", at positions 338 to 956 of the family's 1533-position model. The record is from RNAcentral.